Molecule: ribosomal RNA, 510 nt
Filed under: uncultured bacterium
Lineage: Bacteria
Description: bacterial SSU rRNA
Rfam family: Bacterial small subunit ribosomal RNA
Source: RNAcentral
AUGGCUCAGGAUGAACGCUAGCUACAGGCUUAACACAUGCAAGUCGAGGGGCAGCAUAACGAAAGCUUGCUUUGUGAUGGCGACCGGCGCACGGGUGAGUAACGCGUAUCCAACCUUCCCUAUACUAGAGGAUAGCCCGGCGAAAGUCGGAUUAAUACUCUAUGUUCUUCGUAGAAGACAUCUGAAAUGAAGCAAAGGUUUACCGGUAUAGGAUGGGGAUGCGUCUGAUUAGGUUGUUGGCGGGGUAACGGCCCACCAAGCCUACGAUCAGUAGGGGUUCUGAGAGGAAGGUCCCCCACAUUGGAACUGAGACACGGUCCAAACUCCUACGGGAGGCAGCAGUGAGGAAUAUUGGUCAAUGGACGAGAGUCUGAACCAGCCAAGUAAGCGUGCAGGAUGACCGGCCCUAUGGGUUGUAAACUGCUUUUAUACAGGGAUAAAGUGACGUACGUGUACGUUUUUGUAGGUACUGUAUGAAUAAGGACCGGCUAAUUCCGUGCCAGCCGCCGC